Molecule: unclassified non-coding RNA, 895 nt
Filed under: Hevea brasiliensis (rubber tree)
Lineage: Eukaryota; Viridiplantae; Streptophyta; Magnoliopsida; Malpighiales; Euphorbiaceae
Source: RNAcentral
UUUUUACUGAAUUUCCCACUUUUAGCAACCAAAUCCAUCACUCCUUGCCUCGAUAAUGGAUGAUUGUCACAACCCAAGAAAAUUCGGCCACGGAAUUUCUUUUUCAAGAUUGCAACAGAAAGGGAAGCUGCAUCCUCAUAAUGUAUGAGAUUGAGGAUGUGAUCUGCACGAAAUUCAACAGUCCCCUUCUCCAACCAGUAAACAUGUGCACCCCUAUCUGCUUUGUAAAGUCCUGCCAAUCUCAGGACAGAGCCAUUUCUCUCCAACACUUCUUUUUCUGCCUUUAGAAGCACAUCGGUCCUUGGGCUUCUCCCAAUCGGUACAACUGGAGAGUCCUCAUCACAUUGUCCAUUGUCAUUGCAAUCAUAUGGUGCAGAGCUUGAUGUAAACAAGAAAGAACCUUCUCCAUUCCAGCUCAAAGCAGCUUCCCUGACAUCACCAGGAUAGUCAGAGGUUUGGUAGGGAGGAGCGCAGAAAAUGACGUAAGGGAACUGGUGAAUUGGUUUAGUUUCCUUCAAAGAUGGAUUGAUCCCUAUUUUUAUCAGAUCAUCAUGGUGGUCUGUAGUCACUGUCUGCCCAUAAACUUGACACCCCGGAUGUUCCUGGCGCCAUUUCUCAGCAACUAAGCGACCAAGAACGCCUGGGCCAACAAUAAGCAGAUCAUUCUCUCCCACAAGACCAGAAGAUGCAGCCUCCAAUUCUUCAUUCGGCGCACCAAUCACAGAGGAGGCAGAAACUCGAAAUGGGUUGGCCAUGGAUGAAGAUAAUGUUGGUAAUAUUAGUCUGGUUUUGAGUCUUUUGGACGAGGAGAGCAUUGGGGAAGAGCGAUUUGAACAAGGGAGUGUGGAGUAAUAGUCAACAAUCACGAGGGGACGAGGUCCAACUCCGAGAGAUG